GGGGCUGAUUCUGGAUUCGACGGGAUUUGCGAAACCCAAGGUGCAUGCCGAGGGGCGGUUGGCCUCGUAAAAAGCCGCAAAAAAUAGUCGCAAACGACGAAAACUACGCUUUAGCAGCUUAAUAACCUGCUUAGAGCCCUCUCUCCCUAGCCUCCGCUCUUAGGACGGGGAUCAAGAGAGGUCAAACCCAAAAGAGAUCGCGUGGAAGCCCUGCCUGGGGUUGAAGCGUUAAAACUUAAUCAGGCUAGUUUGUUAGUGGCGUGUCCGUCCGCAGCUGGCAAGCGAAUGUAAAGACUGACUAAGCAUGUAGUACCGAGGAUGUAGAAAUUUCGGACGGGGGUUCAAAUCCCCCCAGCUCCACCA
RNAcentral lists this transfer-messenger RNA (363 nucleotides) under Escherichia coli. It matches the Rfam family "transfer-messenger RNA". From Rfam's summary of the family: Bacterial tmRNA, also known as 10Sa RNA or SsrA, is named for its dual tRNA and mRNA-like properties. Its role is to liberate the mRNA from a stalled ribosome. The record is from RNAcentral. Lineage: Bacteria; Pseudomonadati; Pseudomonadota; Gammaproteobacteria; Enterobacterales; Enterobacteriaceae.